AACGAACGCUGGCGGCGUGGAUAAGACAUGCAAGUCGAACGGGACUAGGUUUGUAGUAAUACAGGCUUGGUUCAGUGGCGCACGGGUGCGUAACACGUGAGCAAUCUGCCGGGAAGUGGGGGAUAGCUCGCCGAAAGGCGAAUUAAUACCGCAUGUGGCCAUCCUUCGAUUGGAGGAAAAGCCAAAGCAGCAAUGCGCUUCCUGAUGAGCUCGCGGCCUAUCAGCUAGAUGGCGGGGUAACAGCCCACCAUGGCGAUGACGGGUAGCUGGUCUGAGAGGACGACCAGCCACACUGGAACUGAGAUACGGUCCAGACACCUACGGGAGGCUG
RNAcentral lists this ribosomal RNA (331 nucleotides) under uncultured Verrucomicrobiota bacterium. RNAcentral describes it as "bacterial SSU rRNA". It matches the Rfam family "Bacterial small subunit ribosomal RNA", at positions 29 to 351 of the family's 1533-position model. Lineage: Bacteria; Pseudomonadati; Verrucomicrobiota. The record is from RNAcentral.